This 614-nucleotide long non-coding RNA is filed under the name Phaseolus vulgaris (common bean). Its description in RNAcentral is "long non-coding RNA (PVUL_LNC000365)". The record is from RNAcentral. Lineage: Eukaryota; Viridiplantae; Streptophyta; Magnoliopsida; Fabales; Fabaceae.
CUUGUUUCACAUAACAAUUCAGUGUCUCAACAUGGCAUAAGAAAUAAAUGAGAAAUUAUAUUUGGUUUUUAAUGAUUUCUUUAUGAAACAAAGGGCUGAAUCCAUUUGGAAUUGCUAUAGUUUUCUCAAUUUUUGGUUUGGUUUCUUUACUUGGAGCAUUUUUGGUUUGAAAUCUUGGAUGAGUUUAAGAAGCUAUAGUUAUAGUUUUCCCAUCUACAAUGUGAUUUCCUACUUCUCAACAGAUUAAACCAAACAUGCUAUUAGAAGUUUGGUUGAAUCCUUAAGGUUUCUUUUGUUAAAGAAUUAGUCUUGCUGUGGGAUCAAAACCAAAUAUGAGUGAGGAGGAUAGGGUCUAAACAUAUUACAGCAAUUGAAAAACCAAAACUUUUGAAAUACAGGACCAAGACCAGAAUAAAAAUUGACAAAAAGACCUCAAGAAUUAGAACUGAGUUUUUACUGCAAAGAGCAAUUGAUGUUGUGGAGGCUUGGUUUUCAAUAUUUUUCAUGUUAAAGAAACUUGAUGAAUGGUAUGUUUGUGCUCACAUGAAACCUUAUGUAAUUUGGUGCUAUGAAAAAGUGAAAUCUUUUUUUAUAGCAGUUUAAGCAAAAAUAAC